UUAUGUGGCCAGUUUGCUCGGUCAAUUCGGUAUACUUUGAUGCAUUCUCCGUGCGGAUUUUCAUAUAUUAAAUGGGAGCAUGUAAGCAAAAAUCGGUGACUUUUGUGAUGUCUUUUCCUGCCUCCCUUUCUCCGUGCUGUCUCUCUCUCUUGGCAGCUGGGCAAAAGUGGGCAGGGAGAGAGGAGGGCAUGGCCCAAAAACUGCUCUCAAGCCCCAGCCCCUGUUCGAGUGGGGUUACUUGCUGGUACACUACUCAGCCUUUCCCCCGUCUUGCAGGCGAAAGAGAGGGAUGUGGAAAUGUAUUCUCGUCUCCUUUCUAACCCGCCUUUUUUUUCUUUUUUUUUUUGUCGUCGCCACCAUGGCCUUAUUGUCUGCGGGUGAACACUCGCCUGAUCUUAACAAAAAAACUCAGUUUGACCAACAAGCUUCCGCUGCUACCUGCAAAACUAUCUGUCCUUAAGGCUGAGGUAGUAGAUUGAAUAGUUGUGGGGUUAAUGUCCUCCUUUUGAGAUAACUAUACAAUCUACUGUCUUUCCGAAGGAAACAGGAUAAUCUUCCGUGAUGCUGAAGGCUGUGUGCACAAGGGAAGCUUCGCGGAUUAAAGGAACUCAAAGACUGAGUAAAUACAAUAUUUAACAAAGAACUCAUCCCCCACCUGUGGAGAUGCAACUGCAGACACAACAAAGACUUUACAUGUUUACCACAAACAAUGGUGGAACUGGUCUACUGAGACAUUUUCUAAAGUUGAUACACAAUGACCAAAGCUUGCUUUUAAGGAUAUUCAUUGGUGCUCGAAGUUGAGCCUAGCAAGAUGAGGUAGUAGGUUGUAUAGUUUGUGGGAUGGAGUAAAUCCUACUCAGGUGAUAACUAUACAGUCUAUUACCUUCCUUGAGAGGUACAAUGAGUGCUUGGGAUGAAGCUCACUCACUGAUGCAAGUGAUGACGGAGACACUCUAAUGCCACCUUGUGGCAAAAGACAAACAUCACUUUGGAAAAGAUUUAAACUUUGUUGUAAACUUCUGUUUUUUUUCUGUGAAAGAUAAAGUAUUUAUGAGGGAUUGAUAAGACAAGUGAAAAACUAAGGUUCAUCUACUAUCUUUUUUGGACAGUUUAGAACUAAAGAUAUUAUCUGACGCGUUAUUUAAAAACACCAUUUUAUCAUUCUACAGCCAAAUUAGAGGACUGACAUUAGACCGAUAUUAAAUUUGUUUGAUAAUCCUGUCAAAAGGACCACAGUUAAAGACUUACAUAUGCAAAAUAAGGAAAUGAGACAGUGUUUAAGGCUUAUGCAAGUAAAACUCUAUCAUGUCCCAUUGACAUGCCUUCUGCAAAGAGAGUGGCUCUAAAGUUUACCAGCGUAGUGUAGACAAAAUAAAUUGUUUUAUAAUACAUUUUGGCAGCUAAUGUUGGUUUGUAAAUAUGUACAAACUGUUUAAAAUGGAGGGAAGUAAAUACGGUCUAAAAGCCUGCAUUUAUAAACAUCAAAAACGGUUUAAUGUAACUUCACAUUCACACUUACUCUGUUUAAAUCUGAGCUGUCAAUUCUAAAAUUGAGGAAAUGAAAGAAACUUUCACAACCACAAACCUGAAUGAAAUGAAGUGUCCGUGAAAUCGUGAGCAAGCGCAAAGGCAUGUCCUGUCACAUGUUUGUUAAAAACUGGAGCAAAAUUGUGAUGCAAGAAACACAAGUUAAUUUACAAGUAUUUUUAUUCUAUUUUUUUGUUUAUUGUAACGAGGAAUACCCUUGUAAUUUGUCGAAAAUACAAAUAAAACAAUACUAAAAAAGUGAAAAAAAGUGACAAAAAUGUGUCAUUAUUAAGAUGUCUAUAAUUAAUUACAAUCAGACACAUUAAGUAAAGGAAUCAUUUACCAUAAAGUUUACAAAAGCCUUACAUUCAGCAUGGCUUAUCAAGAUCUACAAUUUCCUUGUGUAAACUAUUUCAGGCAGCUGCGGCAGAAAACACAUAAGCUUUCUUUCCCAUCGCCAUCUUGUAAUCUAAGAAAAAGUUUGGACAAUGUGCUGCGAAAUACAUUUGCAAAGGUAUGAGAGAAGUUUGUCUAGAAGGGCUUGCAAAUUAAAAGUACAUAUAUAUAUAUAUGAUCCUAACAUUGCAUAGAAAGAGAUGGUGUGUAAUAAAGUCUGUACAGUGCACUGUUUACUUCAUUUGGUAAUUGUGGUGGUACUUCUAGUUAAGAAGUACAACUAGCAUCUGUAUGGCAUUGCAAUAAAAACUCCCAGUGCUUGCUGCAA
Long non-coding RNA from Stegastes partitus (bicolor damselfish), 2251 nucleotides. RefSeq lists it as uncharacterized. NCBI's taxonomy places the organism in Eukaryota, Metazoa, Chordata, Actinopteri, Pomacentridae. The record is from RefSeq and is a predicted model, not a curated record. The transcript has 2 exons.